AUAUCUUGUUAGGUGAGGUUACUGUAUUAAAAUAUGCCACUGCCCAGAAAUGUCCAGAGACACCAAUGGGUUAGCAGAUACUAUCGAAUUAAGGUUUUAUUUAAUGUGGCUGAGAAAUAUUCUCUACGUUUUACAGAGCUAAAACUCAACGAGUAUG
RNAcentral lists this small RNA (157 nucleotides) under Clostridium ihumii. RNAcentral's name for it is "M-box riboswitch (ykoK leader)". It matches the Rfam family "M-box riboswitch aptamer (ykoK leader)". Rfam says of the family: M-box riboswitch, also know as ykoK leader is described as a metaloregulatory RNA that sense divalent metals and function as a genetic control element of genes related to divalent metal transport in bacteria. It was first reported upstream of the B.subtilis ykoK gene and genes with related functions in other bacteria. The record is from RNAcentral. Lineage: Bacteria; Bacillati; Bacillota; Clostridia; Eubacteriales; Clostridiaceae.